AUUGAACGCUGGCGGCAGGCCUAACACAUGCAAGUCGAACGGUAACAGGGAUCAGCUUGCUGAUUCGCUGACGAGUGGCGGAAGGGUGAGUAAUGUCUGGGAAACUGCCUGAUGGAGGGGGAUAACUACUGGAAACGGUAGCUAAUACCGCAUAACGUCGCAAGACCAAAGAGGGGGACAUUCGGGCCUCUUGCCAUCGGAUGUGCCCAGAUGGGAUUAGCUAGUAGGUGGGGUAACGGCUCACCUAGGCGACGAUCCCUAGCUGGUCUGAGAGAAUGACCGGCCGCACGGGAGCUGGAACACGGUCCAUACUCCUACGGGAGGCAGCAGUGUGGAAUAUUGCGCAAUGGGCGCAAGCCUUAUGCAGCCAUGCCGCGUGUAUGAAAAAGGCCUUCGGGUUGUAAAGUACUUUCAGCGGGUAGGAAGGGAGUAAAGUUAAUACCUUUGCUCAUUGACGUUACCCGCAGAAGAAGCACCGGCUAACUCCGUG
Molecule: ribosomal RNA, 490 nt
Filed under: uncultured bacterium
Lineage: Bacteria
Description: partial 16S ribosomal RNA
Rfam family: Bacterial small subunit ribosomal RNA
Source: RNAcentral